CAUUGCGAGGUUGUUUUAUUUUUCUCCCCAGAGGAGUGAGCACCUGGAAUUCCAGAUGAAAUCAGGAGGAACUGCAACUUUUCAGAGCUUCUGAAUAUUAGAUCCUUUAUGUCCAGGUUGUAAAGGAAGAGAGGCAGGUGCUCUCCUCAGUCCUGUACUCUAACAGCAUUUCCAUCUAUCCUCCACUUGAUUUCUUCAUGAAGGAUUCUAGUGAAGAUGACUCAUAUUCACUCCACUUUAGAAUUCUGUGUUGUCAUCAGGUCAGAUAAAACUUGUGCUGGGUGCAAAGCGUCCAGUGUUUAUAGUUCUGUGGAAUAAGACUGUUGAAAUUUGAAGUCAUUGGUUUCAACACGCAAAACCUCUUUCCAGAAGCUCAGGAAAUGAUGCUUGUCUUGUGUUGAUUCCAGAAUGGAGUCAUCUUUUCUUAAUCCACUGCUGUGAAAGGACUUUGAGGCCUAUAGGGGAAUGCAGCUGAAUGCCUUUGAAGUGGUGGAAACUGAAGAAAGAUUUGCUCAAUGCUGAACCAGCUAUGUUGGCUCCUCUGCCUGAAUUCAAUUUGGUGCAUCUCAUGAAUCGCUGUUGCCCUAGGGGGGCUUGUUGCUAGUCGCUGCCAAGUCUCUUUGAGUCAUCCACAGAGCUAACCAGUCCUUGGCCUUCCUCUGGAGAAGGGUAAGUCUCUUAGACUUUCUGAGACUUGCUGAUUGGAUCUGGAGGUCAUAACACACCACCUAUGCUUCCUGGGCUCCUGAAGGCCUGUGCAUGAGGACCUGAAUUUCUGUUGUAUUGUGUG
This 790-nucleotide long non-coding RNA is filed under the name Apteryx owenii (little spotted kiwi). RNAcentral describes it as "lncRNA (ENSAOWG00000003350.1)". Lineage: Eukaryota; Metazoa; Chordata; Aves; Apterygiformes; Apterygidae. The record is from RNAcentral.